This 293-nucleotide ribosomal RNA is filed under the name uncultured bacterium. Its description in RNAcentral is "partial 16S ribosomal RNA". It matches the Rfam family "Bacterial small subunit ribosomal RNA", at positions 505 to 796 of the family's 1533-position model. The record is from RNAcentral.
GUGACAGCCGCCGCGGUAAUACGAAGGGGGCUAGCGUUGUUCGGAAUUACUGGGCGUAAAGCGCGCGCAGGCGGCUUGGCAAGUCAGUGGUGAAAUCCCAGAGCUUAACUCCGGAAUUGCCUCUGAAACUGCUGAGCUUCGAGUACGGGAGAGGUGAGUGGAAUUCCCAGUGUAGAGGUGAAAUUCGUAGAUAUUGGGAAGAACACCGGUGGCGAAGGCGGCUCACUGGCCCGUUACUGACGCUCAGGCGCGACAGCGUGGGGAUCAAACAGGAUUAGAAACCCUCGUAGUCC